GGUGCUUGCAUCAUGAUUUACAUUUGAGUGAGUGGCGAACUGGUGAGUAACACGUGGGAAACCUGCCCAGAAGCGGGGGAUAACACCUGGAAACAGAUGCUAAUACCGCAUAACAACUUGGACCGCAUGGUCCGAGUUUGAAAGAUGGCUUCGGCUAUCACUUUUGGAUGGUCCCGCGGCGUAUUAGCUAGAUGGUGGGGUAACGGCUCACCAUGGCAAUGAUACGUAGCCGACCUGAGAGGGUAAUCGGCCACAUUGGGACUGAGACACGGCCCAAACUCCUACGGGAGGCAGCAGUAGGGAAUCUUCCACAAUGGACGAAAGUCUGAUGGAGCAACGCCGCGUGAGUGAAGAAGGGUUUCGGCUCGUAAAACUCUGUUGUUAAAGAAGAACAUAUCUGAGAGUAACUGUUCAGGUAUUGACGGUAUUUAACCAGAAAGCCACGGCUAACUACGUGCCAGCAGCCGCGGUAAUACGUAGGUGGCAAGCGUUGUCCGGAUUUAUUGGGCGUAAAGCGAGCGCAGGCGGUUUUUUAAGUCUGAUGUGAAAGCCUUCGGCUCAACCGAAGAAGUGCAUCGGAAACUGGGAAACUUGAGUGCAGAAGAGGACAGUGGAACUCCAUGUGUAGCGGUGAAAUGCGUAGAUAUAUGGAAGAACACCAGUGGCGAAGGCGGCUGUCUGGUCUGUAACUGACGCUGAGGCUCGAAAGUAUGGGUAGCAAACAGGAUUAGAUACCCUGGUAGUCCAUACCGUAAACGAUGAAUGCUAAGUGUUGGAGGGUUUCCGCCCUUCAGUGCUGCAGCUAACGCAUUAAGCAUUCCGCCUGGGGAGUACGGCCGCAAGGCUGAAACUCAAAGGAAUUGACGGGGGCCCGCACAAGCGGUGGAGCAUGUGGUUUAAUUCGAAGCUACGCGAAGAACCUUACCAGGUCUUGACAUACUAUGCAAAUCUAAGAGAUUAGACGUUCCCUUCGGGGACAUGGAUACAGGUGGUGCAUGGUUGUCGUCAGCUCGUGUCGUGAGAUGUUGGGUUAAGUCCCGCAACGAGCGCAACCCUUAUUAUCAGUUGCCAGCAUUAAGUUGGGCACUCUGGUGAGACUGCCGGUGACAAACCGGAGGAAGGUGGGGAUGACGUCAAAUCAUCAUGCCCCUUAUGACCUGGGCUACACACGUGCUACAAUGGAUGGUACAACGAGUUGCGAACUCGCGAGAGUAAGCUAAUCUCUUAAAGCCAUUCUCAGUUCGGAUUGUAGGCUGCAACUCGCCUACAUGAAGUCGGAAUCGCUAGUAAUCGCGGAUCAGCAUGCCGCGGUGAAUACGUUCCCGGGCCUUGUACACACCGCCCGUCACACCAUGAGAGUUUGUAACACCCAAAGUCGG
Molecule: ribosomal RNA, 1379 nt
Filed under: Lactiplantibacillus plantarum
Lineage: Bacteria; Bacillati; Bacillota; Bacilli; Lactobacillales; Lactobacillaceae
Also listed under: 1 other name
Description: bacterial SSU rRNA
Rfam family: Bacterial small subunit ribosomal RNA
Source: RNAcentral